RNAcentral lists this unclassified non-coding RNA (297 nucleotides) under plant metagenome. RNAcentral's name for it is "partial contains 5.8S ribosomal RNA, internal transcribed spacer 2, and large subunit ribosomal RNA". The stretch from base 1 to 105 matches the Rfam family "5.8S ribosomal RNA", at positions 50 to 154 of the family's 154-position model. The record is from RNAcentral.
GAAAUGCGAUAAGUAAUGUGAAUUGCAGAAUUCAGUGAAUCAUCGAAUCUUUGAACGCACAUUGCGCCCCCUGGUAUUCCGGGGGGCAUGCCUGUUCGAGCGUCAUUUCACCACUCAAGCCUCGCUUGGUAUUGGCAACGCGGUCCGCCGCGUGCCUCAAAUCGACCGGCUGGGUCUUCUGUCCCCUAAGCGUUGUGGAAACUAUUCGCUAAAGGGUGUUCGGGAGGCUACGCCGUAAAACAACCCCAUUUCUAAGGUUGACCUCGGAUCAGGUAGGGAUACCCGCUGAACUUAAGC